RNAcentral lists this ribosomal RNA (440 nucleotides) under uncultured bacterium. Its description in RNAcentral is "bacterial SSU rRNA". It matches the Rfam family "Bacterial small subunit ribosomal RNA", at positions 338 to 782 of the family's 1533-position model. The record is from RNAcentral.
CCUACGGGUGGCUGCAGUCGAGGAUCUUCGGCAAUGGGCGCAAGCCUGACCGAGCGACGCCGCGUGGAGGAUGAAGGCCUUCGGGUUGUAAACUCCUGUCGGGGGGGAGGAAAGCCCCGCAAGGGGCCUGACCGACCCCCGGAGGAAGCACGGGCUAAGUUCGUGCCAGCAGCCGCGGUAAGACGAACCGUGCGAACGUUGUUCGGAAUCACUGGGCUUAAAGGGCGCGUAGGCGGGCGGGUAAGUCCCGGGUGAAAGCCCCCGGCUCAACCGGGGGACGGCGCGGGAUACUGCACGUCUUGAGGGGGGUAGGGGCGGGCGGAACUUCCGGUGGAGCGGUGAAAUGCGUUGAGAUCGGAAGGAACGCCGGUGGCGAAAGCGGCCCGCUGGACCCCACCUGACGCUGAGGCGCGAAAGCCAGGGGAGCGAACGGGAUUAGA